RNAcentral lists this ribosomal RNA (253 nucleotides) under uncultured bacterium. RNAcentral's name for it is "partial 16S ribosomal RNA". It matches the Rfam family "Bacterial small subunit ribosomal RNA", at positions 524 to 776 of the family's 1533-position model. The record is from RNAcentral.
UACGUAGGGCGCAAGCGUUGUCCGGAAUUACUGGGCGUAAAGGGUGCGCAGGCCGCGCGGGCAGUCAAAUGUGUAAUCCAGGGGCUCAACCCCUGAACUGCGCUUGAUACUUCCGCGCUCGAGCUUUGGAGAGGAGUCUGGAAUUCUCGGUGUAGCAGUGAAAUGCGUGGAUAUCGAGAAGAACACUUAGGGCGUAGGCAAGACUCUGGACAAAUGCUGACGCUCAUGCACGAAGGCUAGGGUAGCGAACGGG